This 72-nucleotide transfer RNA is filed under the name Trichonephila inaurata madagascariensis. RNAcentral describes it as "tRNA-Tyr". It matches the Rfam family "tRNA". Rfam says of the family: Transfer RNA (tRNA) molecules are approximately 80 nucleotides in length. The record is from RNAcentral. Lineage: Eukaryota; Metazoa; Arthropoda; Arachnida; Araneae; Nephilidae.
CCGUCGAUAGCUCAGUUGGCAGAGCGGUGGACUGUAGAUCCAUGGGUCAUGGUUCGACUCCGGCUCGGCGGA